GAGAGAGAGCGAGAGAGAACAUGUCUGUUUCCUCUCCCCACAUGUCUUCCCCCAUGCUGGUGAUGGCACCUCAGCUCUCUGUGACUCAGUUGAGCAGUUAGCAGCAGCGGAAGCUUCGCUAUGACAACAGAUUAGCAAAUCAUUAGAUUAGAUCAUCAGAUUAGAGAGAAGCCAGACUGCUCCCUACCGGAAUUCCAGCUCCGCACGCAGAAGCAAGCAGAGGAGCAGCCGUCGGCUGUGGACCAGGCGACCGGACCGACGCCGACCCAGGAAGACAGGCACGACUGGAAGGUGCAGUGGGUGGAGCUCCCCUUACCUCUGGUGAUGACUCUGGGGAUUCUGAUAGUGCUGUCAAUCAUCUAUCAGAUGGCCGGGAUUAGACACACCAGAAGGUACAACACGAGCACACAGCCCCUGCAAGGAGUGAGGACGCCAAAGAUCAUUACUUGACCUGACAAAUGAAGUCCUACAAAUUAAUUUAAGUGUACUUUAUGAAUUUGCUGUGCAAGUGAAUUAAUUUAACAGUAAUUAUAUAUUAUAUACCUUAGUUUUGAUAUUAUAUAUUGUUUUGAACAUGGAAUCAGAAAAUCAUAUAUUGAUUAACUGACAAAUGAAUUGUUUCAUUGAUUAACAGAUUCUAAAAUGUUUGGAUGCUUUUUUGCCAUCUCUUUUCCUCUAACCUCCUCUGAUUUUUCAAUGCUUUGGGGUUUUCAGUUUUUCUGUAUUAUAACAUAAUUAUGUUUUAAUGUAUAUGAUCAUCAUGCUGUGAUUGUGACAAUAAAGAUGGGACUGAAUCGUGAACUUGAUGGAAUGUGUUUUCCCUCCUUUCUGUUGGUCUAACCCUAACCUUAUCAGUGACAGUCAGCUUUCUCUUCAAAACAACUAAACAUAAAUCAACUGUGU
Clupea harengus (Atlantic herring) is the source of this 903-nucleotide long non-coding RNA. Lineage: Eukaryota; Metazoa; Chordata; Actinopteri; Clupeiformes; Clupeidae. The record is from Ensembl.